AUUGAACGCUGGCGGCAGGCCUAACACAUGCAAGUCGAGCGGAUGAAGGGAGCUUGCUCCUGGAUUCAGCGGCGGACGGGUGAGUAAUGCCUAGGAAUCUGCCUGGUAGUGGGGGAUAACGUCCGGAAACGGGCGCUAAUACCGCAUACGUCCUGAGGGAGAAAGUGGGGGAUCUUCGGACCUCACGCUAUCAGAUGAGCCUAGGUCGGAUUAGCUAGUUGGUGGGGUAAAGGCCUACCAAGGCGACGAUCCGUAACUGGUCUGAGAGGGUGAUCAGUCACACUGGAACUGCGACACGGUCCAGACUCCUACGGGAGGCAGCAGUGGGGAAUCUUGGACAAUGGGCGAAAGCCUGAUCCAGCCAUGCCGCGUGUGUGAAGAAGGUCUUCGGAUUGUAAAGCACUUUAAGUUGGGAGGAAGGGCAGUAAGUUAAUACCUUGCUGUUUUGACGUUACCAACAGAAUAAGCACCGGCUAACUUCGUG
This 484-nucleotide ribosomal RNA is filed under the name uncultured bacterium. Its description in RNAcentral is "partial 16S ribosomal RNA". It matches the Rfam family "Bacterial small subunit ribosomal RNA", at positions 30 to 507 of the family's 1533-position model. The record is from RNAcentral.